GUAGGGGGCAAGCGUUAUCCGGAAUUAUUGGGCGUAAAGAGUGCGUAGGUGGUUACCUAAGCGCAAGGUUUAAAUUAGAGGCUCAACCUCUACAUGCCUUGCGAACUGGGCUACUUGAGUGCAGGAGGGGAAAGCGGAAUUCCUAGUGUAGCGGUGAAAUGCGUAGAUAUUAGGAGGAACACCGGCGGCGAAGGCGGCUUUCUGGACUGUAACUGACACUGAGGCACGAAAGCGUGGGUAGCAAACAGGAUUAGAUACCCUGGCUGUCCACGCCGUAAACGAUGAGCACUAGGUGUUGGGUCCGUUAGGACUCAGUGCCGCAGUUAACGCAAUAAGUGCUCCGCCUGGGGAGU
RNAcentral lists this ribosomal RNA (353 nucleotides) under uncultured bacterium. RNAcentral's name for it is "bacterial SSU rRNA". It matches the Rfam family "Bacterial small subunit ribosomal RNA", at positions 527 to 881 of the family's 1533-position model. The record is from RNAcentral.